AUUGAACGCUGGCGGCGUGCCUAACACAUGCAAGUCGAGCGAGGGAGGGGAGCUUGCUUCCCGACCUAGCGGCGCACGGGUGAGUAACACGUGGAUAAUCUACCCAUCAGUAUGGAAUAACAGACAGAAAUGACUGCUAAUACCGUAUGCGAUCCAGUAUAUUCUAUUGGGUGAAAGGCGGCCUCUGCUUGCAUGCUGUCGCUGAUGGAUGAGUCCGCGUCUCAUUAGGUAGUUGGUAGGGUAACGGCCUACCAAGCCGACGAUGAGUAGCCGGCCUGAGAGGGUAAUCGGCCACACUGGGACUGGAACACGGCCCAGACUCCUACGGGAGGCAGCAGUGGGGAAUAUUGCGCAAUGGGCGAAAGCCUGACGCAGCGACGCCGCGUGAGGGAUGAAGGCCUUCGGGUCGUAAACCUCUGUCAGGAGGGAAGAAGUGUAUGGGUGCUAAUCAGCCCAUAUUUGACGGUACCUCCAAAGGAAGCACCGGCUAACUCCGUGCCAGCCGCCGCCGUAAAC
Molecule: ribosomal RNA, 516 nt
Filed under: uncultured bacterium
Lineage: Bacteria
Description: bacterial SSU rRNA
Rfam family: Bacterial small subunit ribosomal RNA
Source: RNAcentral